This 248-nucleotide long non-coding RNA is filed under the name Phoenix dactylifera (date palm). RNAcentral's name for it is "long non-coding RNA (PDAC_LNC001379)". The record is from RNAcentral. Lineage: Eukaryota; Viridiplantae; Streptophyta; Magnoliopsida; Arecales; Arecaceae.
GGAGGUUUGGUCUGACCUCCAGAAUACAAUAAGAAAGGAGAAAAAUAGAGAUGACUCACUUUCACAAUUAAAAAAAUAAAAAUGUACAAUUAUAAAAAAUUAAGAAAUAAAAAUAAAUGAUCAAAAUCUUACUAAUCAUCAGUAUUCACUAUUCAGUAGUGUUUGUAUCAUCAUCAUCAGAGGAUGUUGUAUCAUAUCCACCUUUAUCUUGAAGUCUCGCCUCAGCAUCCAACCAAUCUUUGAAGCAG